This 2042-nucleotide long non-coding RNA is filed under the name Homo sapiens (human). RNAcentral describes it as "long independently transcribed non-coding RNA 1744 (LINC01744)". The record is from RNAcentral. Lineage: Eukaryota; Metazoa; Chordata; Mammalia; Primates; Hominidae.
AGGGCUUUGAAGUGGAAAGGGAGUGGGUGGUGGGGGGGUGUGUGGCUUUAGGGUCUCUGGCUUAGGAAGCUGAGUCUCCGUAGUGCCAUUCAUACAGAUGGAAUGAGGGAAGAAGCAGUUUCAUGGGAAAGUAGUAAAUUUGAUUGAGUAACAAGAGCUUGGGGGAUCCAGAAGAGAGCUAGGUUUGCAGUUCAGGAGUCCAGGAGAGAGUCAGACUGAAAACAUAAGCCCAUGGAUAGUCAGUCAUUGAAGCCAUGGGAAUGAAGAUCACCUAUGGGAAACACAGAUAGAAGCGAAUGUUACCACAAUGAAGUGUGGUCUAUACAAUUAAUUGCUGCAAAGAGGUCAGGGCACCACAAUCAAUCAUUCAUCAAAAAUAACAGGCAGCAAAGGACUGAGAAUAGAGUGAUCUGUGAUAUCUUCCCACUAAUCCCAAGUCAGGAGAGAGAGAGAAUGAAGAUCCAUUGCUGUAGAGGAACAAACUGAACGUGUUGAAGGUCCCGCAAGGCCAAUGUGGCUGGAAUGCAGACACAAAGCCAGGAGGAACAAGAGAUGGGGCUGACAAGAGAGGCAGGAGUCAGAUCUCAUGGGAACUGUCACCUGCAGUGUUGCAGACCUCUUUGAAUACACCAUGAGCACUGUGGAUUCUCGCCUCUGGAGAAUAAAAAUCACAUACAGAAAAGUUCAGACAACUUUAAGGAGUUUGAAGAAUCCCUGCUAGUCGUGGACCCAUCUGGGGUUGGUGGAUUCCUCACCAUGACUCUUUGGAUUCAGAAGUCAUAUAAGAUGCAGUUUAACAAAUAUUGGAAGUCAAAUGAGCAUUCUGCGGAAAAACAGCUUCUUCCAUACAUCAUCUUCUGGAAUAUCCCAGAUCUGGAAGAGGUCACAGGAAUGUCCAUUCAUAGGGAGCUCUACCUGGAGCUCAGAGAUGAUUGAGAGAGGGUAUUCAUCAUGGAUGUGUCCAAGUGAAGGUAGUUUGGAAAGAAACAAAGUUACCCUUUUUUCUCACUAAACAUCUUAGGGUCCCCAUUAGCAGGAAGGAAGGAAGAGGACAGGUGAGCUCCCUGGUAUUGAUGUAUUUACAGAGAACCUAGGCAUCAGCCAUACAUACAGAGGACACUCAUUUGGCCAGAAUUUGGGCUUUGACUUUAAUUAAAUUCCCUUGCUCCCAAUAAGACCUCUCUUAAUCUGAAAACAAUUUGUCAUAAGUGAUGUACCUGCCAAGACCUCAUGGCAAAGAGGCAGGGGGUACCUAGUAAAUGUUGCUGACAAACUCCAGCAUGACUCUAAAGGGACAGUGGCUUCCUUUGGAUGGUCAUGUGCUGCUGCUGGACAUAGCAAUCAGAAGGACAGUGGUGAACACCCAGGAGUGAACCAAGAUGCAAAGUUCAAGUCCGAGGGAAGAAGGGUGCAGUGCGGAAGAAGGGAAGGCAGAUGCUGCAGCCCUGCCUACAAGCAAGGAGGGAGCCAUUAAGAGCCCCAAGCUGGCCAGGCGCAGUGGCUUGCGCCUGUAUUCCUAAUCCCGGCACUUUGGGAAGCCAAGGUGGACGGAUCACCUGAGGUCAGGAGUUUGAGACCAGCUUGACCAACAUGGAGAAACUCUGUCUCUACUAAAAAUACAAAAUUAGCCAGGAGGCUGAGGCAGAAGAAUUGCUAGAAUCCGGGAGGUAGAGGUUGCAGUGAGCCGAGAUCGUGCCAUUGCACUCUAGCCUGGGCAACAAGAGCGAAACUCCAUCUCAAAAAAACAAAAAAGCCCCAAGCCUACUUUAUCAGACAGAGGAAUCAAGUUGUAUUUCCUUCUCACCAAGAGACGCUGGAAAGCUGUAAUCUUACACCAGUGGAGAAAGUGAGAGGAAAAUAAACCCUUUCUAAGGAUGAAUCCUGAAAGCCUUUCACAGACAAUGCUGCUUCUAUAAGAAUGACCUGUGAUGGCUAAGCCAUCACAGUCUUCAUUCCAAUUGACAUUCUAGGUAAACCUGCGCACAACUUUUUCUGUGUAUUUUCCAAAAAAGGAUCAUUUUAUAAAGGCUCAAGUUAUUUAC